This 1346-nucleotide ribosomal RNA is filed under the name uncultured bacterium. Its description in RNAcentral is "bacterial SSU rRNA". It matches the Rfam family "Bacterial small subunit ribosomal RNA", at positions 28 to 1381 of the family's 1533-position model. The record is from RNAcentral.
GACGAACGCUGUCGGCGUGCUUAACACAUGCAAGUCGAACGGAAAGGCCCUGCUUUUGUGGGGUGCUCGAGUGGCGAACGGGUGAGUAACACGUGAGUAACCUGCCCUUGACUUUGGGAUAACUUCAGGAAACUGGGGCUAAUACCGGAUAGGAGCUCCUGCUGCAUGGUGGGGGUUGGAAAGUUUCGGCGGUUGGGGAUGGACUCGCGGCUUAUCAGCUUGUUGGUGGGGUAGUGGCUUACCAAGGCUUUGACGGGUAGCCGGCCUGAGAGGGUGACCGGCCACAUUGGGACUGAGAUACGGCCCAGACUCCUACGGGAGGCAGCAGUGGGGAAUAUUGCACAAUGGGCGGAAGCCUGAUGCAGCAACGCCGCGUGCGGGAUGACGGCCUUCGGGUUGUAAACCGCUUUCGCCUGUGACGAAGCGUGAGUGACGGUAAUGGGUAAAGAAGCACCGGCUAACUACGUGCCAGCAGCCGCGGUGAUACGUAGGGUGCGAGCGUUGUCCGGAUUUAUUGGGCGUAAAGGGCUCGUAGGUGGUUGAUCGCGUCGGAAGUGUAAUCUUGGGGCUUAACCCUGAGCGUGCUUUCGAUACGGGUUGACUUGAGGAAGGUAGGGGAGAAUGGAAUUCCUGGUGGAGCGGUGGAAUGCGCAGAUAUCAGGAGGAACACCAGUGGCGAAGGCGGUUCUCUGGGCCUUUCCUGACGCUGAGGAGCGAAAGCGUGGGGAGCGAACAGGCUUAGAUACCCUGGUAGUCCACGCUGUAAACGGUGGGUACUAGGUGUGGGGUCCAUUCCACGGGUUCCGUGCCGUAGCUAACGCUUUAAGUACCCCGCCUGGGGAGUACGGCCGCAAGGCUAAAACUCAAAGGAAUUGACGGGGCCCCGCACAAGCGGCGGAGCAUGCGGAUUAAUUCGAUGCAACGCGUAGAACCUUACCUGGGUUUGACAUGGAUCGGGAGCGCUCAGAGAUGGGUGUGCCUCUUUUGGGGUCGGUUCACAGGUGGUGCAUGGCUGUCGUCAGCUCGUGUCGUGAGAUGUUGGGUUAAGUCCCGCAACGAGCGCAACCCUUGUUCACUGUUGCCAGCACGUUAUGGUGGGGACUCAGUGGAGACCGCCGGGGUCAACUCGGAGGAAGGUGGGGAUGACGUCAAGUCAUCAUGCCCCUUAUGUCCAGGGCUUCACGCAUGCUACAAUGGCUGGUACAGAGAGUGGCGAGCCUGUGAGGGUGAGCGAAUCUCGGAAAGCCGGUCUCAGUUCGGAUUGGGGUCUGCAACUCAACCUCAUGAAGUCGGAGUCGCUAGUAAUCGCAGAUCAGCAACGCUGCGGUGAAUACGUUCCCGGGGCU